Molecule: ribosomal RNA, 400 nt
Filed under: phytoplankton environmental sample
Lineage: Eukaryota
Description: partial small subunit ribosomal RNA
Rfam family: Eukaryotic small subunit ribosomal RNA
Source: RNAcentral
AGCUCCAGUAGCGUAUAUUAAAGUUGUUGCAGUUAAAAAGCUCGUAGUUGGAUCUCGGGUUGUCGGCUGCGGUUCAGGUUCAUGCCUGCUUACUGCUGUCGAUACCUAACCGGCGGGACGCUGUGGGUGCCCUUGACUGGGUCGCCUACUGCACCCGCUCAAUUUACUUUGAAAAAAUUAGAGUGUUCAAGGCAGGCUCACACGCCUGAAUAAUGGUGCAUGGAAUAAUAGAAUAGGAUCUCGGUUCUAUUUUGUUGGUUUUCGGAACUUGAGAUAAUGAUUAAGAGGGACAGACGGGGGCAUUCGUAUUGCGGUGUUAGAGGUGAAAUUCUUGGAUCGCCGCAAGACGAACUACUGCGAAAGCAUUUGCCAAGAAUGUUUUCAUUAAUCAAGAACGAAA